This is a long non-coding RNA of Onychostoma macrolepis, 314 nucleotides long. RefSeq lists it as uncharacterized. NCBI's taxonomy places the organism in Eukaryota, Metazoa, Chordata, Actinopteri, Cypriniformes, Cyprinidae. The transcript is spliced from 3 exons. The record is from RefSeq and is a predicted model, not a curated record.
AUUCAUUCUGAACUGGGAGCGGGUAUCAUUAUUCUGUACUGUAACUAACUAUUACUGUACUUUCCUGAAACGCCAUCAUGUGGACACACAAGCAGCUGUUUGGACUCUCAUUCUGACGGCACCCAUUCACUGCAGAGGAUCCAUUGGUGGGCAAGUGAUGUGAUGCUACAUUUCUCCAAAGCUGUUCUGAUGAAGAAACAAACUCAUCUACAUCUUGGAUGACCUGAGGAUUUCCAUGCAUCUACUCACUGGAGAGCUGUGUGUUCUUGCAUCGUGCCGUUUGCUGCUGCCGUUGGGGCUUUUUGGUUGAGCUG